This 1441-nucleotide ribosomal RNA is filed under the name uncultured organism. RNAcentral describes it as "16S ribosomal RNA". It matches the Rfam family "Bacterial small subunit ribosomal RNA". The record is from RNAcentral.
UGGCUCAGGAUGAACGCUAGCUACAGGCUUAACACAUGCAAGUCGAGGGGCAUCAGGAAGAAAGCUUGCUUUCUUUGCUGGCGACCGGCGCACGGGUGAGUAACACGUAUCCAACCUGCCCUUUACUCGGGGAUAGCCUUUCGAAAGAAAGAUUAAUACCCGAUAGCAUAAUGAUUCCGCAUGGUUUCAUUAUUAAAGGAUUCCGGUAAAGGAUGGGGAUGCGUUCCAUUAGGUUGUUGGUGAGGUAACGGCCCACCAAGCCUUCGAUGGAUAGGGGUUCUGAGAGGAAGGUCCCCCACAUUGGAACUGAGACACGGUCCAAACUCCUACGGGAGGCAGCAGUGAGGAAUAUUGGUCAAUGGGCGCUAGCCUGAACCAGCCAAGUAGCGUGAAGGAUGAAGGCUCUAUGGGUCGUAAACUUCUUUUAUAUAAGAAUAAAGUGCAGUAUGUAUACUGUUUUGUAUGUAUUAUAUGAAUAAGGAUCGGCUAACUCCGUGCCAGCAGCCGCGGUAAUACGGAGGAUCCGAGCGUUAUCCGGAGUUAUUGGGUUUAAAGGGAGCGUAGGUGGACUGGUAAGUCAGUUGUGAAAGUUUGCGGCUCAACCGUAAAAUUGCAGUUGAUACUGUCAGUCUUGAGUACAGUAGAGGUGGGCGGAAUUCGUGGUGUAGCGGUGAAAUGCUUAGAUAUCACGAAGAACUCCGAUUGCGAAGGCAGCUCACUGGACUGCAACUGACACUGAUGCUCGAAAGUGUGGGUAUCAAACAGGAUUAGAUACCCUGGUAGUCCACACAGUAAACGAUGAAUACUCGCUGUUUGCGAUAUACAGUAAGCGGCCAAGCGAAAGCAUUAAGUAUUCCACCUGGGGAGUACGCCGGCAACGGUGAAACUCAAAGGAAUUGACGGGGGCCCGCACAAGCGGAGGAACAUGUGGUUUAAUUCGAUGAUACGCGAGGAACCUUACCCGGGCUUAAAUUGCAGUGGAAUGAUGUGGAAACAUGUCAGUGAGCAAUCACCGCUGUGAAGGUGCUGCAUGGUUGUCGUCAGCUCGUGCCGUGAGGUGUCGGCUUAAGUGCCAUAACGAGCGCAACCCUUAUCUUUAGUUACUAACAGGUUAUGCUGAGGACUCUAGAGAGACUGCCGUCGUAAGAUGUGAGGAAGGUGGGGAUGACGUCAAAUCAGCACGGCCCUUACGUCCGGGGCUACACACGUGUUACAAUGGGGGGUACAGAAGGCAGCUAGCGGGUGACCGUAUGCUAAUCCCAAAAUCCUCUCUCAGUUCGGAUCGAAGUCUGCAACCCGACUUCGUGAAGCUGGAUUCGCUAGUAAUCGCGCAUCAGCCACGGCGCGGUGAAUACGUUCCCGGGCCUUGUACACACCGCCCGUCAAGCCAUGAGAGCCGGGGGUACCUGAAGUACGUAACCGCAAGGAUCGUCCUAGGGUA